AAAAAGGAAAGGGAAGAAAAUGUAAAAAGACUUAAUACGUCUGCUGUUGUUUUUUGCUCUGUUGUUUUUGUCACUAUGACAAAAGUCUACAUUUACUCUUGUCUCCUAUCUGCUCUGACUGUUCUGCAGAUGCAGCCUCUCUACAUAAAGGGUCAUGUUGGGCAAGGUGUAACAUUUACAUGUUCCAGCUGGGAUGUUUGGUUGACUGAUGUUAAAUCUUAUGAUAAGUAUCUUUGUGAAAGUCCAUGCGAGAGAGAACUACACAUCAUCAUCAAAGCAGCAUCUGGAGAAACUAAAAACAAGAAUAGAAUAUACAUAAACAACAGCGCAACUGGUUUAUCUGUGACCUUCACCAAUCUCCAGAUAUCAGACUCUUAACACAAACAUAUGUGGACUGGAGAGGAUUGGCCCUGACCCAUACAUAGAGGUGAAUCUUAAAGUUACAGAUGCUCCUAAAUCAGUCACCCAUGGGUUAGCUAUCAUAUUUAUUGCAGCCUUGGUGAUGGAACUUGCACAAGUGCUCAGAGGAAGAAUUGCAUCGUUAUGUGCUUUCCCUGGGCCUCAUCCCUCCUGGCGGAUCAUCGUUCUGCUUUGCAGGAGGGUUACACCUGGAAUCAUCACUCCCUCCAAAAGUCCAGUAAUGACAUCCCCCUUUCCGACAAUGCUGAUCAUCAGUGAUUUCAUCAUCAGGGAUGUCUGUAAAAAAUUGCAAAAACCUUGUUCUUUCCUGGAGCCACUGUGAGGGAUUUGACUGAAAAAAUCCCCAACCUUUUAGAAAACCAUUCCACAGCAACUACGCUUGUGAUUCAUGUUGGUACAAACGACAUCAGUCUCCAGCAGUCUGAACUGCUGAAACAUGAUUUUAGCCUUCUUUUUAACUUGCUGAAAGGCCACCGUGGGAAAAGAUUCUUUAGCUCUGGUCCAAUUCCUACAUUGCGCCAUAGACUUCUCAGCUUGCAUACAUGGCUCCAUUCACACUGUUCCACACAUGGGCGUUUUUAUAUAGACAAUUUUGAUCUCUUGGAAACGUUCCUCAUAUAGAAAAGAUGGACUACACCCCAGCUGCCUGGGUUCACGGAUGUUAACUGCAAACAUUCUCCACAGUGUCUCAGCUUCUGAUCAUUUGAAACACCUGUGCCACUGUGGACACAGACUCUGCCAACAGCCUCCUCCAACACCCCCUACAGGUAUGGAUUCUGUCUCUCAACAGUAAGUCUGUUUUAACUGGUUGUUUAUUUAUCUUUCAGACAGAGUUCUUUGUUGAAAUUGAAAAUAACCUCUUCUCAAAAUAACCUGUGGGGUUCCAUAAGGAUCGAUUUUAGGGCCACUUCUUUUUUAUCUGUAUUAGUUACCCCUUGGUGAUGUCAUCAGGAGACACAACAUCUCUUUCCAGUUAUACUGACCCAUAACUUGAUAUGGCCGUGUCUCCUGAUAAUACAGGACUAACUGAUUCCCUGUUGAGAUAUAUUUUUGAUGUUAAGAUCUGGAUGUCGCAAGACUUUUUACAGUUCAACCAAAAUAAAACUGAAAUUUUAGUCAUAGGCUCUAAAGCUCAGAGAGAGAAACUGGUUUCAGUAAGCAUGAAACCUUGGUGUGGUCUUCAAUUCAAAUCUGAACUUUAAGGCUCAUGUGGGGUUUGUCUCCAAAUCUUCAUUUUCCCACCUCAAAAAUAUAACUAAAAUGCGACCAUUUCUCUCUCUGAGUGACACAGAAAAACUUAUGGAUGCUUACAUAUUGAGCAGGGUUACUACUACUACUAUAAUGCUCUGCUAUCAGGUCCAAAGAUGUUAUAAAUCAGCUACAGCUGAUUCAGAACUCUGAAUCUGACCAGGAGCAGAAGGACCGAAUACAUUCCAGCUGUCACACAUUACAUCUAAGUCCUUACACUGGUUGUCUGUCAGUUUCUAUAUUGCUAUUUUUAUUUUUAUUUUUUUUAGUUGCUUUUCAAGCACUGGCACUCUUGCACCAGCACAUACUGUAUGCCUCACAUGCUUACAGUGUAUGACACAGUACAGCCCCUUACGUCCUCUGGCACAAGUGUGUUAGUUACUGCAAAGUGCAGGCAGCUUUUUUUUUAUGCUGCGAGCUGCUACAACAGUCUGCCUGAGGGCCUGAGAGUAGCUUGAAGUGUUAAAAUCUUAAAUCUUCAGCCUGACUUUUUUUUAUUAAGUAUGGUUUAUAGUUAUUAUAUACUUACUUUUUUAUUGUUUUAUUCUGUCUAUGUUGUCAUUUUUUAUUUUGUUAUUUUAUUCAUGUUAUUUUUCCCUUCCAUUGAUUUAAAAAAUAUUUUAAUUAGGUUUUAGUCUACCUUUUACCUAACUCUAUUUUAUUAGUAUAGUAGUAUUAGCUUUGAAGGUGCUUUGAAUAGCUUUUAAAAUCUAUCUUACUGUAUUACAUUGUCAUCAUUUUUAUAUGUAUAUGUAUCAUUUCUAGUCUUUCAUGCUAUUACAGUACACUUUUUCUGUCUUACUAUCGGCUUUUCAGUCAUCUGUGAAGCAUUUCAAACUGCAUUAACCUGUA
This is an RNA transcript of Lates calcarifer (barramundi perch), 2520 nucleotides long. RefSeq lists it as uncharacterized. The transcript is spliced from 5 exons. The record is from RefSeq and is a predicted model, not a curated record. Lineage: Eukaryota; Metazoa; Chordata; Actinopteri; Centropomidae.